GACGAACGCUGGCGGCGUGCUUAACACAUGCAAGUCGAGCGGUGAACCACUUCGGUGGGGAUCAGCGGCGAACGGGUGAGUAACACGUGGGCAACCUGCCCCUAGCUCUGGGAGUAACCCCGGGAAACCCGGGGCGUAAUACCGGAUAUGACCUCGAGCGGCAUCUCUCGAGGUGGAAAGAUUUAUUGGCUAGGGAUGGGCCCGCGGCCUAUCAGCUUGUUGGUGGGGUAACGGCCUACCAAGGCGACGACGGGUA
RNAcentral lists this ribosomal RNA (256 nucleotides) under uncultured bacterium. Its description in RNAcentral is "partial 16S ribosomal RNA". It matches the Rfam family "Bacterial small subunit ribosomal RNA", at positions 28 to 285 of the family's 1533-position model. The record is from RNAcentral.